This 199-nucleotide unclassified non-coding RNA is filed under the name soil metagenome. RNAcentral's name for it is "partial internal transcribed spacer 1". The record is from RNAcentral.
CCGAGUUUACAACUCCCAAACCCAAUGUGAACGUUACCAAACUGUUGCCUCGGCGGGAUCUCUGCCCCGGGUGCGUCGCAGCCCCGGACCAAGGCGCCCGCCGGAGGACCAACCAAAACUCUUAUUGUAUACCCCCUCGCGGGUUUUUUAUAAUCUGAGCCUUCUCGGUGCCUCUCGUAGGCGUUUCGAAAAUGAAUCA